Molecule: ribosomal RNA, 312 nt
Filed under: uncultured Hyphomicrobiales bacterium
Lineage: Bacteria; Pseudomonadati; Pseudomonadota; Alphaproteobacteria; Hyphomicrobiales
Description: bacterial SSU rRNA
Rfam family: Bacterial small subunit ribosomal RNA
Source: RNAcentral
GGCUCAGAACGAACGCUGGCGGCAGGCUUAACACAUGCAAGUCGAGCGCUCGUAGCAAUACGAGAGCGGCAGACGGGAGAGUAACACGUGGGAACGUACCCUUCGGUUCGGAAUAACCCAGGGAAACUUGGGCUAAUACCGGAUACGUCCGUAAGGAGAAAGAUUUAUCGCCGAAGGAUCGGCCCGCGUCCGAUUAGCUAGUUGGUGAAGUAAUGGCUCACCAAGGCGACGAUCGGUAGCUGGUCUGAGAGGAUGAUCAGCCACACUGGGACUGAGACACGGACCAGACUCCUACGGGUUUCAGCAGUGGGG